UUAAAUGUAUAUUUGGUUUAAAAGAGGGGAAGAGAAUGAAAGGGAGAAGUUUUAAUCAAAUAUAUAUUUAGUUCACAAGGGGAAGAGAGAGAUUUUAAAACUAAUAUAUAUAUUUACCAUUAAAAUAUUAUAAUAAUAGAAAAUAGAAAAGGAUGAAGAAUGCUUCAUCAUUAAAAGACAAAGAUAGAAAUUUUGUUAUUGAUUAUUUAUUAAUUUGUUACACACA
This 226-nucleotide long non-coding RNA is filed under the name Lathyrus oleraceus (garden pea). RNAcentral describes it as "Pisum sativum (pea) long non-coding RNA (PSAT_LNC008963)". Lineage: Eukaryota; Viridiplantae; Streptophyta; Magnoliopsida; Fabales; Fabaceae. The record is from RNAcentral.